Bison bison bison is the source of this 122-nucleotide ribosomal RNA. NCBI's taxonomy places the organism in Eukaryota, Metazoa, Chordata, Mammalia, Artiodactyla, Bovidae. The record is from Ensembl.
GUCUAUGGCCAUACCACCCUGAAUGCCCUGGAUUUCACUUGAUCUCAGAAGCUAAGCAGGGUCGGCCCUGGUUAGUGCUUGGUUGGGCGAGUGGGGAGGGACUUCACACUAGUGCCAAGACA